GAGGAAACUUGUGCUAAUACCGGAUAAGUCUUUACGGAGAAAGCUUUAUGCACCAUUGGAUGAGCCUGCACUUGAUUAGUUUGUUGGUAGGGUAAUGGCCUACCAAGACUGUGAUCAAUAGCUGAUUUGAGAGGAUGAUCAGCCACAUUGGGACUGAGACACGGCCCAAACUCCUACGGGAGGCAGCAGUGGGGAAUCUUGCACAAUGGAGGAAACUCUGAUGCAGCGAUGCCGCGUGAGUGAAGAAGGCCUUUGGGUUGUAAAGCUCUUUCGUCGGGGAAGAAAAUGACUGUACCCGAAUAAGAAGG
This 308-nucleotide ribosomal RNA is filed under the name uncultured Pseudomonadota bacterium. Its description in RNAcentral is "bacterial SSU rRNA". It matches the Rfam family "Bacterial small subunit ribosomal RNA", at positions 150 to 491 of the family's 1533-position model. The record is from RNAcentral. Lineage: Bacteria; Pseudomonadati; Pseudomonadota.